UAGCAUAUCAAUAAGCGGAGGAAAAGAAACCAACAGGGAUUGCCCUAGUAACGGCGAGUGAAGCGGCAACAGCUCAAAUUUGAAAUCUGGCCCUCGGGUCCGAGUUGUAAUUUGUAGAGGAUGCUUUUGGUGAGGUGCCUUCCGAGUUCCCUGGAACGGGACGCCAUAGAGGGUGAGAGCCCCGUCUGGUUGGACACCGAGCCUCUGUAAAGCUCCUUCGACGAGUCGAGUAGUUUGGGAAUGCUGCUCUAAAUGGGAGGUAUAUGUCUUCUAAAGCUAAAUACCGGCCAGAGACCGAUAGCGCACAAGUAGAGUGAUCGAAAGAUGAAAAGCACUUUGAAAAGAGAGUUAAAAAGUACGUGAAAUUGUUGAAAGGGAAGCGCUUAUGACCAGACUUGGGCUUGGUUGAUCAUCCUGGGUUCUCCCUGGUGCACUCUUCCAGUUCAGGCCAGCAUCAGUUCGCUGCGGGGGAUAAAAGUUUUGGGAAUGUGGCUCCCUCGGGAGUGUUAUAGCCCAUUGCAUAAUACCCUGCUCCGGACUGAGGUUCGCGCAUCUGCAAGGAUGCUGGCGUAAUGGUCAUCAGCGACCCGUCUUGAAACACGGACCAAGGAGUCGUCUUCGUAUGCGAGUGUUCGGGUGUUAAACCCCUACGCGUAAUGAAAGUGAACGCAGGUGAGAGCUUCGGCGCAUCAUCGACCGAUCCUGAUGUUCUCGGAUGGAUUUGAGUAAGAGCAUACGGGGCCGGACCCGAAAGAAGGUGAACUAUGCCUGUAUAGGGUGAAGCCAGAGGAAACUCUGGUGGAGGCUCGCAGCGGUUCUGACGUGCAAAUCGAUCGUCAAAUAUGGGCAUGGGGGCGAAAGACUAAUCGAACCUUCUAGUAGCUGGUUUCCGCCAAU
RNAcentral lists this ribosomal RNA (897 nucleotides) under Calonectria pini. RNAcentral's name for it is "LSU rRNA". It matches the Rfam family "Eukaryotic large subunit ribosomal RNA", at positions 36 to 965 of the family's 3401-position model. Lineage: Eukaryota; Fungi; Ascomycota; Sordariomycetes; Hypocreales; Nectriaceae. The record is from RNAcentral.